UGCGUAGGCGGAAAAUUAAGUCAGUGAUGAAAUCCUGCAGCUUAACUGUAGAACUGUUAUUGAUACUGAUUUUCUUGAAUUCAGUUGAGGUAGGCGGAAGGUGUAAUGUAGCGGUGAAAUGCUUAGAUAUUACACAGAACACCGAUUGCGAAGGCAGCUUACUAAGCUGAUAUUGACGCUGAGGCACGAAAGCGUGGGGAGCGAACAGGAUUAGAUACCCUGGUAGUCC
Molecule: ribosomal RNA, 229 nt
Filed under: uncultured bacterium
Lineage: Bacteria
Description: partial 16S ribosomal RNA
Rfam family: Bacterial small subunit ribosomal RNA
Source: RNAcentral